This is a non-coding RNA of Lyophyllum atratum, 107 nucleotides long. Lineage: Eukaryota; Fungi; Basidiomycota; Agaricomycetes; Agaricales; Lyophyllaceae. The record is from the annotation of a GenBank genome assembly.
GCAUUAAUGGGGUAGUGGUAACCUGGGUCGUUGCCAUGAAUGAAUGUGUCGUACUCACUAGGUACGCGUUUAUCGACCCGCCGGGAGUUCGAUUCUCUCUUAAUGCA